GUCCCUGUAGCUCAGUUGGUAGAGCAUGGCGCUUGCAACACCAGGGUUGUGGGUUCGAUUCCCUCGGGGGACC
RNAcentral lists this transfer RNA (73 nucleotides) under Salmo salar (Atlantic salmon). It matches the Rfam family "tRNA". From Rfam's summary of the family: Transfer RNA (tRNA) molecules are approximately 80 nucleotides in length. Their secondary structure includes four short double-helical elements and three loops (D, anti-codon, and T loops). Lineage: Eukaryota; Metazoa; Chordata; Actinopteri; Salmoniformes; Salmonidae. The record is from Rfam by way of RNAcentral.